UCACGCUGCUGUGAACAUGAU
RNAcentral lists this microRNA (21 nucleotides) under Medicago truncatula (barrel medic). RNAcentral's name for it is "mtr-miR2653b". The record is from miRBase by way of RNAcentral. Lineage: Eukaryota; Viridiplantae; Streptophyta; Magnoliopsida; Fabales; Fabaceae.